This 253-nucleotide ribosomal RNA is filed under the name uncultured bacterium. RNAcentral describes it as "partial 16S ribosomal RNA". It matches the Rfam family "Bacterial small subunit ribosomal RNA", at positions 524 to 776 of the family's 1533-position model. The record is from RNAcentral.
UACGUAGGGACCAAGCGUUGUUCGGAUUUACUGGGCGUAAAGGGCGCGUAGGCGGCAAUUCAAGUCAGUUGUGAAAUCUCCGGGCUUAACUCGGAACGGUCAAGUGAUACUGUUGUGCUAGAGUACAGAAGGGGCAAUCGGAAUUCUUGGUGUAGCGGUGAAAUGCGUAGAUAUCAAGAGGAACACCAGAGGCGAAGGCGGAUUGCUGGGCUGAUACUGACGCUGAGGCGCGAAAGCUAGGGUAGCAAACGGG